Long non-coding RNA from Tupaia belangeri chinensis (Chinese tree shrew), 444 nucleotides. RefSeq lists it as uncharacterized. The transcript is spliced from 4 exons. NCBI's taxonomy places the organism in Eukaryota, Metazoa, Chordata, Mammalia, Scandentia, Tupaiidae. The record is from RefSeq and is a predicted model, not a curated record.
AUUCAGCAAUUAUAUCUAAACCUUCCACCCAACCCGACCUCUCUGGUGACCUUCAGUCCCAUUCGUCGACCCGCCUGAGGUUACCAUGUUUGGAAGACAGAAUUCCACUCUUCCUGAUUGCAAAGUAAAGAAAAGAAACAUCCAGACAUCUGGGAGACGACAAUCAAAAGCACUUUUAAACUGACCUUCGUACUGCCCCUAACCCAUCACUGCAGCAACCACUUUGGGCGGCCGGCAGUCCCCACCCACACCCGAACCACCACUCCGUGGAUCAUCCUCCAGUCUUCCUGGUGCCCUGGAAAGAACAAGGUGGACAGUGGCAGCUCACUGACCCGAAUUCGGAAUUUGGAACAUGUUUGGGAGAGAGGAGAUGAGGAAAUUAAAAUUCAGAGGGUCAUCUUCGUCAGCCGGCAGUGACGGGAGCGACCGCAGCCUCGCCUCUGC